Molecule: non-coding RNA, 87 nt
Organism: Nicotiana sylvestris (wood tobacco)
Lineage: Eukaryota; Viridiplantae; Streptophyta; Magnoliopsida; Solanales; Solanaceae
Source: Rfam
GGAUGGAUGUCUGAGCGGUUGAAAGAGUCGGUCUUGAAAACCGAAGUAUUUAUAGAAAUAUCGGGGGUUCGAAUCCCUCUCCAUCCG